Molecule: ribosomal RNA, 733 nt
Filed under: Meloidogyne incognita (southern root-knot nematode)
Lineage: Eukaryota; Metazoa; Nematoda; Chromadorea; Rhabditida; Meloidogynidae
Description: partial large subunit ribosomal RNA
Rfam family: Eukaryotic large subunit ribosomal RNA
Source: RNAcentral
ACAAGUACCGUGAGGGAAAGUUGCAAAGCACUUUGAAGAGAGAGUUAAAGAGGACGUGAAACCGGUAAGGUGGAAACGGAUAGAGUCGGCGUAUCAUUCAAUUAUUCAGUUACAUUAUUUUUAUGUUGUGACCUCUGAGCUCCAGAUUGGGACCGAGGGAAUCAGCAUAAUUGUUUGUGGUGCAUUUACUUGAUUGGUGCUUGGGGAUGUUUGAGGCAGAUUUGUUUCCGUCGUUUUGAGGCCAGCUUGCUGGUACCCAAACGGUGUUAGCAUUUUUUGUCUUGGGCAUUUGAGUAUGGCUCACGUGUAUUUAUUGGAACGAUCUGAGUGUAAGUUACGGUCGCAUGCGACACGUGCUUUUCAAUUAGUUCGGUCCAGUUAAUGCUCUCGUACUCGUUCCCCAUGUAAAAGCCGGUCAUCUAUCCGACCCGUCUUGAAACACGGACCAAGGAGUUUAUCGUGUGCGCAAGUUUUUGGGUGUUAAAAACUUAAAAGCGAAAUGAAAGUAAAUGACUCUUUAGAGUCUGAUGUGUCUUGUAAAAAAGUGUAGCAUGGCCCGACCAUUCUAACUGUUUACAGUAGGGUGGCGGAAGAGCGUACGCGGUGAGACCCGAAAGAUGGUGAACUAUUCCUGAGCAGGACGAAGCCAGAGGAAACUCUGGUGGAAGUCCGAAGCGGUUCUGACGUGCAAAUCGAUCGUCUGACUUGGGUAUAGGGGCGAAAGACUGUCAUU